This 865-nucleotide ribosomal RNA is filed under the name uncultured bacterium. RNAcentral's name for it is "bacterial SSU rRNA". It matches the Rfam family "Bacterial small subunit ribosomal RNA", at positions 36 to 885 of the family's 1533-position model. The record is from RNAcentral.
CGACGCGUUGGCCAAUUGAUUGAUGGUGCUUGCACCUGAUUGAUUUUGGUCGCCAACGAGUGGCGGACGGGUGAGUAACACGUAGGUAACCUGCCCAGAAGCGGGGGACAACAUUUGGAAACAGAUGCUAAUACCGCAUAACAACGUUGUUCGCAUGAACAACGCUUAAAAGAUGGCUUCUCGCUAUCACUUCUGGAUGGACCUGCGGUGCAUUAGCUUGUUGGUGGGGUAACGGCCUACCAAGGCGAUGAUGCAUAGCCGAGUUGAGAGACUGAUCGGCCACAAUGGGACUGAGACACGGCCCAUACUCCUACGGGAGGCAGCAGUAGGGAAUCUUCCACAAUGGGCGCAAGCCUGAUGGAGCAACACCGCGUGAGUGAAGAAGGGCUUCGGCUCGUAAAGCUCUGUUGUUAAAGAAGAACACGUAUGAGAGUAACUGUUCAUACGUUGACGGUAUUUAACCAGAAAGUCACGGCUAACUACGUGCCAGCAGCCGCGGUAAUACGUAGGUGGCAAGCGUUAUCCGGAUUUAUUGGGCGUAAAGAGAGUGCAGGCGGUUUUCUAAGUCUGAUGUGAAAGCCUUCGGCUUAACCGGAGAAGUGCAUCGGAAACUGGAUAACUUGAGUGCGGAAGAGGGUAGUGGAACUCCAUGUGUAGCGGUGGAAUGCGUAGAUAUAUGGAAGAACACCAGUGGCGAAGGCGGCUACCUGGUCUGCAACUGACGCUGAGACUCGAAAGCAUGGGUAGCGAACAGGAUUAGAUACCCUGGUAGUCCAUGCCGUAAACGAUGAGUGCUAGGUGUUGGAGGGUUUCCGCCCUUCAGUGCCGGAGCUAACGCAUUAAGCACUCCGCCUGGGGAGUACGA